AGAGCGAACGCUGGCGGCAUGCUUAACACAUGCAAGUCGCACGGUCAGCAAUGGCAGUGGCGGACGGGUGAGUAACGCGUAGGAAUUUAUCUAGUGGUGGGGGACAACCGUGGGAAACUACGGCUAAUACCGCAUGAAGCCUGAGGGCCAAAGGUCGCAAGACCGCCAUCUGAGGAGCCUGCGUCUGAUUAGCUAGUUGGUGGGGUAAAGGCCUACCAAGGCUGCGAUCAGUAGCUGGUCUGAGAGGAUGAUCAGCCACAUUGGGACUGAGACACGGCCCAAACUCCUACGGAGGCAGCAGUGGGGAAUAUUGGACAAUGGGCGCAAGCCUGAUCCAGCAAUGCCGCGUGUGUGAAGAAGGUCUUCGGAUUGUAAAGCACUUUCGACGGGACGAUAAUGACGGUACCCGUAGAAGGAAGCCCGGCUAACUUCGUGCCAGCAGCCGC
Molecule: ribosomal RNA, 446 nt
Filed under: uncultured bacterium
Lineage: Bacteria
Description: SSU rRNA
Rfam family: Bacterial small subunit ribosomal RNA
Source: RNAcentral